UCUUCCCUCUGGCGGCGUGCCUAAUACAUGCAAGUCGAGCGAACAGAUGAGGAGCUUGCUCCUCUGACGUUAGCGGCGGACGGGUGAGUAACACGUGGAUAACCUACCUAUAAGACUGGGAUAACUUCGGGAAACCGGAGCUAAUACCGGAUAAUAUAUUGAACCGCAUGGUUCAAUAGUGAAAGACGGUUUUGCUGUCACUUAUAGAUGGAUCCGCGCCGCAUUAGCUAGUUGGUAAGGUAACGGCUUACCAAGGCAACGAUGCGUAGCCGACCUGAGAGGGUGAUCGGCCACACUGGAGCUGAGACACGGUCCAGACUCCUACGGGAGGCAGCAGUAGGGAAUCUUCCGCAAUGGGCGAAAGCCUGACUGAGCAACGCCGCGUGAGUGAUGAAGGUCUUCGGAUCGUAAAACUCUGUUAUUAGGGAAGAACAAAUGUGUAAGUAACUAUGCACGUCUUGACGGUACCUAAUCAGAAAGCCACGGCUAACUACGUG
Molecule: ribosomal RNA, 497 nt
Filed under: uncultured bacterium
Lineage: Bacteria
Description: partial 16S ribosomal RNA
Rfam family: Bacterial small subunit ribosomal RNA
Source: RNAcentral